GUGCCUGCUUUGCAGCACAUAUACUAAAAAUUGAAUGAUACAGAGAGUAUUAACAUGGCCCCUGUGCAAGGAGGACACUCAAAGUCAUGAAGUGUUCUAUAUUUUU
This is a small nuclear RNA of Ictidomys tridecemlineatus (thirteen-lined ground squirrel), 106 nucleotides long. The record is from Ensembl. Lineage: Eukaryota; Metazoa; Chordata; Mammalia; Rodentia; Sciuridae.